Long non-coding RNA from Cynoglossus semilaevis (tongue sole), 712 nucleotides. RefSeq lists it as uncharacterized. The transcript is spliced from 4 exons. Lineage: Eukaryota; Metazoa; Chordata; Actinopteri; Pleuronectiformes; Cynoglossidae. The record is from RefSeq and is a predicted model, not a curated record.
ACUGGAUUAGAUGUGUGGAGUCAGGUGGCGAGGUGGGCGGGGCUUGAUGUUGGAAGCGCGAGGUUGCAAAUGGAAAUUUUUACGAGCCUCGUCAACACGUGUCUUGUCAAUGAAAACAAAUACACACCGAAAAUUUAAAAACAAUAUUAAUGCGUAUUUUGACUGUAAACAGACAAACGUGCUGCAGAAGCUUCUGAAGAACAAUUAUUCUGCCAAAAACAAAGAUGAAAACGACCUGGAAAUGAUCCGAGAACAUAAAAGGCAGGAGAACAAACAUGUGCACCAGGCACAGAGGUGUGCAGAAACAAUUUUGUUUCCAGAAGAAAUCACAUUUAAGCCUCUUCUUCUCAUCUUCUAUGGCCUUCAUCUUGGCUUCGUGGACGUCAGCCAGUGCCUUCCACUCUCCCCUGUUGUUAUUCAGACCGUCAAACAUCGGCUUGAUCUCCGUGUGGAAACGUGAAAACUCCUAAAGAGGAUCAGACUUGGACUUCCUGAGUCAAAUAUGUCAUUUGGACGACGUGGGAAACGAUGGAUGACCAUGUCUGAGCUCCAACUCUCUAAUGGGAUUUAUGUUCAUCUUUCAUAACAGUGACCCAGAGGUCGAAGUCCAGCUUGUAAAUAUGCAGGUCAGUGACAGGAAGCGAAUGGACUUAAAUAGCUGUAUUGUUGUUGUCAGGAAGGAACUGUUACGAACCACACCUCAGAAUUUAAA